GAUAUGGCACCCUCAUCUUAUAAGGCAAGAUGAAAGGCGCCACUUGGUUUAUAAAGCAGGUAGUUUGGGCACCAACUCUUGGCACCCCCUUAAGAUUUUAAGUGCUCAAGAGAGGAAGCAUAGCCCCUCUCUCUCUCCUUUCACAUCUAAACAAAAGAGGGGUGGGCCCCUCUUUCUUUCAUCCGCCCACUCCAAGGUAUGCACCUUUGGUCUUUCCAAAGAGGGAGGCACGUGCCUCUACUUUCUUUCCAAUUAAUCCUCGCCAC
This 266-nucleotide long non-coding RNA is filed under the name Elaeis guineensis (African oil palm). Its description in RNAcentral is "long non-coding RNA (EGUI_LNC054513)". The record is from RNAcentral. Lineage: Eukaryota; Viridiplantae; Streptophyta; Magnoliopsida; Arecales; Arecaceae.